This 363-nucleotide ribosomal RNA is filed under the name uncultured bacterium. RNAcentral's name for it is "bacterial SSU rRNA". It matches the Rfam family "Bacterial small subunit ribosomal RNA", at positions 29 to 419 of the family's 1533-position model. The record is from RNAcentral.
AACGAACGCUGGCGGCAGGCCUAACACAUGCAAGUCGAGCGCCCCGCAAGGGAGGCGGCGGACGGGUGAGUAACACGUGGGAAUUUCCUUCAAGGUACGGGAACAACUCAGGGAAACGUUGGGCUAAUACCGUAUGAUGCAGAGAUGCCAAAGAUUUAUCGCCUUGGGAUAAGCCCGCGUCAGAUUAGGUAGUUGGUGGGGUAAUGGCCUACCAAGCCUGUGAUCUGUAGCUGGUCUGAGAGGACGAUCAGCCACAUUGGGACUGAGACACGGCCCAAACUCCUACGGGAGGCAGCAGUGGGGAAUCUUGCGCAAUGGACGAAAGUCUGACGCAGCCAUGCCGCGUGGAGGAUGAAGGCCUCU